Molecule: ribosomal RNA, 448 nt
Filed under: Centropages typicus
Lineage: Eukaryota; Metazoa; Arthropoda; Copepoda; Calanoida; Centropagidae
Description: partial 16S ribosomal RNA
Rfam family: Bacterial large subunit ribosomal RNA
Source: RNAcentral
CCUUUUAUUUAAUAACAACCCCUGCUCAAUGAAUAUAUUUUAAAUAGCCGCGCAAGCGCUAAGGUAGCAUAAUAAUUAGCCUCUUAAUUGGGGGCAAGAAUGAAGGGGGUCAUUAGAAAAAUAGAUUUAAACCAAUAGUUUGAAUUUUUAUCUUAUUGAAAAGAAUAAGAUGUUUCUUUAAGACGAUAAGACCCUAUGAAGCUUAACAGCACUAACGCAAUUAUAACAUAAUUAGCUGGAUUGUUUGGGGAAAAAUGUAAUAUUAAUAUUAAAUUAUCUAGGACUACAUAGAUCUUGUGUAAAAUAAUAGGAAAAAGCUACUCUAGGGAUAACAGCGUUAUAUUUAUUAAAGUCCUUAUUGAAAUAAAUUAUUGCGACCUCGAUGUUGAAUUAUGAAUCUUUGUAGCUGCAGACGGUUAUAAAGGUGAGUCUGUUCGACUCGUAUUUC